UGAGGAAUUUUCCGCAAUGGGCGCAAGCCUGACGAAGCAACGCCGCGUGCAGGACGACGGCCUUCGGGUUGUAAACUGCUUUUCUGGGGGACGAGCAAGGACGGUACCCCAGGAAUCAGCCCCGGCUAACUACGUGCCAGCAGCCGCGGUAAUACGUAGGGGGCAAGCGUUGUCCGGAGUUACUGGGCGUAAAGCGCACGCAGGCGGUUGCACGCGUUUCCGGUGCCAGCUCGUUGCUUAACGACGGGAGUGCCGGGAAGACGGUGUGACUCGAGCACCUCAGAGGGACAUAGAAUUCUGGGUGGAGUGGUGAAAUGCGUAGAUAUCCGGAGGAAUACCAAUGGCGAAGGCAGUGUCCUGGGAGGUCGCUGACGCUAAGGUGCGAAAGCCAGGGGAGCGAACGGGAUUAGAUACCCCGGUAGUCCUGGCCGUAAACGAUGACCAUUAGGCGUGUGGGGUAUCGACCCCCUGCGUGCCGAAGUUAACACAUGAAAUGGUCCGCCUGGGGAGUACGGUCGCAAGAUUA
RNAcentral lists this ribosomal RNA (526 nucleotides) under uncultured bacterium. RNAcentral describes it as "bacterial SSU rRNA". It matches the Rfam family "Bacterial small subunit ribosomal RNA", at positions 355 to 896 of the family's 1533-position model. The record is from RNAcentral.